RNAcentral lists this long non-coding RNA (261 nucleotides) under Setaria italica (foxtail millet). Its description in RNAcentral is "long non-coding RNA (SITA_LNC001119)". Lineage: Eukaryota; Viridiplantae; Streptophyta; Magnoliopsida; Poales; Poaceae. The record is from RNAcentral.
AACAACAAAAGAAAAACCCUUCUCUUCUUCUUUCUCUUUCUUUUCUUUCUUUCUUUCUUUCUGUUUUUUUUUCUUUUCUUUUUUUUUUCAAGUAGCACAGAGCUCAAAUUUUGCAACAAGAGAUAACAAGCUACUUACAACAAUUAAAUGCUUCCUUGGGAAGGGUGAUUCAGUAGCAAAGUCAAACAAGUGGCUGUUUUGCAAAACCAGCAGAUGCGCAAAUCUCAAGGGUGGUUGCGAAGUGCUCAGAUUGAAUUUGGG